This is a long non-coding RNA of Carya illinoinensis, 4948 nucleotides long. RefSeq lists it as uncharacterized. NCBI's taxonomy places the organism in Eukaryota, Viridiplantae, Streptophyta, Magnoliopsida, Fagales, Juglandaceae. The record is from RefSeq and is a predicted model, not a curated record. The transcript has 3 exons.
UUUCAAGCACAUGGCUGGUAGAAUUGCUGACGUGGCUAGGAAAUAUUAUGGUCUGCUAGGGUUACUGGUUCCUCGUGAGAUAUGCUGCCUGCCGUCGGGGGCCCCCCAGGCUCUUCGGCGUCAUCCUUCCAUCGGUCCUUCGCCGAUAUGGUGGCGCAAUUGCCAUAGCCUCUCCCUGAGGUUGUUAUUCCAUUGUGGCCUCCCCAGAUACUGGAUGGUGAAGUCUUCAUCAGUUUUACGAAGGAGGAGAUUGUGAGGUCUGCUUCUCCUUUUGCUUUUUCUUUAGUUCUCAAGUUUCUCCGUCAGCGCCCCUCUUUGGAUGUUAUUCGCUCAGUUAUUCGCAGCAGAUGGGGAUUGGAAUCUCAACUGGUGGUUUCAGCUAUGCCUAAACCAAGAUCUGUCUUCCUGCAGUUCUCAAAUGAGUUGGUGUCUCGUUUCGUAUGUUCCACUGGUCCCCGAAUUACACUGAAGAAAAAGAAUCGUCAGUGAUUACUGUUUGGAUUUCUUUGCCGGAUCUUCCUCUGAAUUUCUACCAUGAGUCCUUCCUUCAGAAUAAAACCAUGCCGAUUGGAAAGAUUGUUCGUCAUGAUAACUGCACUCGAUGUGUAACUAGUACUGAUGGAGCGCGAGUCUGUAUUGAAAUGGAUACUGCCCAAAAACCGAUCGAAUCCAUCUGGAUUGGAGUUCCUCAUCAGCUUGGUAGUAGACUUCAACAUGUGAUAUCUGAAAAUCUAUCGGCUUAUUGUUGCCAUUGUCAGGUGCAAGGCCAUAAUAUCCUGGAAUGCAAAUGGGUGAAGCAAAAUGGUGGGAAACCUACUCUGAAUGACAUUAAGGAUGGAAAAUGUUGGUUUCGUAGAGAGAAAAAGAAAAAGAAUGAAGAGACCAACCCUGUUAGGGGAAUCAGAUUCACCCUCUAUGACUAAAGACGUCGCGACUGGUGAGAAAGGGAAUCCAGUGGUGGGUAGAGCUGAGCUGCGUCCUACGACCGAUAAUCAUGAUGGUGUCGAUGGUUUGGAGGACUUGAUAAUACAUACGGAAAUUCCUGAGAUGAUGCAAGAGCCUAACAAGACAGAUGUGCAGCAGGCUUCUUCAGAAUUCUUUACUUGAAAGCAAUACGGCAAGGGGGGUUGUGGAUACUCUGCCCGAGGUUGAUGGUGAAUCUCUGCAGCCAGUUGACGAACCUAUUUUAGAGGUUUCACUUUCUGGUGAUGGUUUAGAGCAUGAAACUGAUUUUAAAAUAUGUACUGGCUCUGAAAAUGACCUGAACGAUAAACUGGAACACAUAGGUAAAGAAAAAAACAAUGCGUAUGAUACUAAGAAGCGACCCAAAGGUGGGAAAGUUACACGAUUGAGGAGCUCUACGAGGUCCUGAAGCAGGCCUCCCAAAUUUAAUCUAUGAUAAGUCCAAUUUUCUAUUGGAACUUAAGAGGUCUUGGUAACUCUAAAAUGCGCUGUGUAAGUUGAUCUUUAAGUCUAAACCAAGAAUUAUUGCUAUUGCUGAGCCUUUCUUGUCAGAUAGCAGAAUGUAGAGUCUCCAACGUUCUAUUCGGUUCUUGAAUGGUAUAUCUAAUGACGUUGAGAAUGGAAAACUAUGGGUUUUAUGGAAGGAGGCCUCAAAAGUCAAAGUUAUACACCAGGGUCCUCAACAUCUUACGGUGGAGUAUUCGGAAUCUGGUAAACUUUUAUACAUUUCUUUUGUAUAUGCUCGUUGUAAGCAACUAGACCACAGAGAACUUGGGGAUACUUUAGCUACUAAUAUUUUGAGUGGGUUUUCUUGGCUCAUUUCUGGGGAUUUCAACAUCAUUCGGGCUCAUGAUUCUGAACAUAGAGGAGGUUAGCCGAGAUCUCAUUUUGCUAUGGAAGAGUUCAACUCAUUUAUUGAUUCGACUGGUUUAUCGGAAAUGGGGUUCCUGGAAAUAUUCCUUCGUGGUGUAAUGGACACUCAGGUUUGUCACGUAGCUGGGUGUAACACCCAGAGCCAGAGUGAUUUAUUAUUAUUAUUAUUAUUAUAAAUUUCAGAUAUGUUUUGAAUCAGAUUUUAAGACGGUGUUUGUUGUUGAUUGAGUUUCAUCCCUUAUCCCGAAUUUUUCUCCCUACUGUUUUUCAGUUUGAAUAACACUCAUAGAUCGGAACCAACUCCCAAUUUCAAACCCUACCCAAACUCCUGAAAACUCACGUAAAACCCUUUCCCUUAUAAAAUCCCACCAAACCCUCAGAUUAAUCAUUCAGAAUGUUAGUCAACAAAGAGGGAAAAGAAAAGAAAGUACUCGCGCAGCCCCUUCUUUUUACCCAACCACCUUGUCGGAGCACCUUCAGAUCUCCAUAAACACUGCCAGUCAACCCACUUCGUUGAACACCUCACUAUUUGGUCACGAGCUACAACAUGAGAUUUCAGAAGUAGCGCUUAGAGGUAAUUAAUAUGAUCAUAUAAUUGCAUAUGUACUGUAAAUUCUCUAAUGGUAUAUGAUAAUAUGAUGUUUGUCUACGCUACGCUACAAGCUCAGUCAAGGUUAGAUUCCCUUCAUGAUCUUUGAUGAAUUAUGACAUCAUGCUUGUAUGAAUGAAUUGUUGUUUGAUGGAAUAAAUAAUUCUAAAAUCAUAUGGAAGCCAUGAGAUGUUCAUUAAGUCAAGUAUGCUAUGUAAUAAAGUAGCUAGAUUAUGUAUGCCAUGCUCAUGUAGUACCUAGAUCAUGUAUUCCAUGUUCAUGUAGUGAUUAAACCAUAUAUGCUAUGUAAUGUCAUUUAGAUCAAGCAUGUGAUGUAAAGUUCAUAUAGAUCUCAAAUCAUGUAUGCCAUGGAAUGUUUAUAUUUAGAUCAUAUUGUGCCAUGUACAAGAAUAUGCCAUGUUAUGCCAUGCCAUGUAUAAGGAUAUGCCAUGUUAUGCUAUGCCAUUUACAAGUAUACGCUAUGCUAGAAAAGUUCAUGAUAUUAAAUAAGAUCUUAUGCAUUAAGAAAGAUAAGAUAUUUAAGAGUGACAUGGACCUAAGUGUAUUCACCACAAGCUAUGUUAAGACGGUACCACGGACCUAAGCAUGGUUCACCAUAAGUUAAGUGAAACACGGACCUAAGCAUGUUUCACUUUAAGUUAUGUUAAAGAUGACAUGGACCCAAGCGUGUUCAUCACAAGUUAUGUUAAGGAUGACAUGGACCUAAGCGUGUUCAUCACAAGUUAUGUUAAGGAUGACACAGAUCUAAGCGUAUUCAUCACAAGAUAUGUUAAGGAUGACACGGACUUAAGCGUGUUCAUCACAAGUUAUGUUAAGGGUGACACGGACCUAAGUGUGUUCACCACAAGUUAUGCUAUGCGGUGCCACGGACUCAAGCGUGGUUUACCUUAUGUAAAGUGAAACAUGGACUUAAGAGUGUUUCACUCCAUGUCAUGACAAGUUAUGGGGUGCCACGGACUUAAGCGUGGUUCACCUUAUAAUAAGUGAAAGACAAGAUAAAUAAGUAAAUUAUGCAUUUACGUUUAUAUGUUCGCCAUGAUUAUGUAUGUUUCCACUCAUGUUGAUAAUAAUAGACAUGCUAUGAGAAUCUGUGAAUGAUAAAUGUUUGUUUGAAGAGUCUUUCAAAAAUUAAGUCUUAUUAAGUUAUAUUUUAUGGUAUGAUGCACUAUUUACUAAGUAUUCGACUCAUUUUUGUUUGUUUGUUUGUUUCUCUGUUCUCUUCUAUGUUUAAAUGUCACAGAUGUUGGUUAUAAGGACAUAAAGCUGGAGGACUAGGAGUAGACCUAGUGCAAGGACUUAAUUAUUCUAUGUUUUUGGAUAAAAAGUCACGUGUAGGGAUAUGAAUCUCUUUACCGAGCAAUAUGUUAUGUACGUUAGUAACAUUUCUAUCCUACGGGAACGGGGUGUAACACUGGGCAAAAUUCGGCAGAUAUUCAUUGAACUCAGCAGUUCUUAUGGAUUUUCCUAAUGCUCAUAUGCAAUACUUGCCUUGGACAAAUUUUGAUCAUGCUCCAAUGAUCAUAUGGAUGGAAAAGGUGAUGGCUUGCUAUGGUUUUUCUUCUUUUAAAUUCCAAAAAUGUGGAUUUCACAUGAAUAUAUAAUUUUUUUACUGUGUUAAAAAAAGCUUGGGAAGAAUAUGAUAUCAAUGAUAAGGGGCUAUUUAGACUGGUUCAAAAGCUUAAAAAGAGUCAGGGUUGUUUGAGUGCAUGGAAUAAAACAUCCUUUGGUAGAACUGAUUUUAACAUCAAUUUACUAGAGGCACAUAUAGAAGCAUUAGAGGAAUCCUUACAACAUGGGUAUUCUGAAGGUGAUGAGAUUGAUUUCCCUAUUGGAGUUAAAUUUGAGGCAACAAAGGGAAUCUACUCGGUUAGCACAACAAUGCAAACAAACUUGGUUAAAGAAUGGUGAUGCUACUAUUCCUUUCUUUCGAGCCUUGAAGAGCCAAAACAAUAUUGUGGUGCAUGAGAUGUCUCUCAAGGAUGGUCGUAGCUAGGCUUAUUUCUCCUGAAGACAUUCAUAAUGAAGCUGUGAAUUAUUUCUCUGAUUUUUUUUGCUUUUAACAAGGUGGUCAAUUACUAGAUUUGUCUCAUCUAGUAAGCCCGAUGUUCUCUACAUUUGACAAUUUUAAUUUUUGUAAGCUCCCUUCGAUCCAAGAAAUAAAGGAUACUCUUUUCUCUAUUCCAAUUGAUAGUAGCUCAAGUUCUUUCAUUCUUGUUGGAAUAUUGUUGGUAAAGAUGUGGUAGAAGUGAUUUAGGAUUUCUUUAAGGGUACCUCUCUCCCAAGGUACUAGGCCUGCAACCUGGCUUGGAUUAGCUGGGUUUGUGCCCGACCCGACUCGACCCGAAACACGCCAAAUAACGCGCCAAUCCGAUCCGAUCCAACCCGAUCAAAGUAAAAGCAGGUCGAACCCGUAUAACCCGAUCAGGGCUUGCACCGUGGAAUAGAAGCCAAAUGAUGGAAGAGGGGGACUUGACGGAUGUGACGCCCCCAAAUCCCACGUAC